AAUCAAAUCAUGACCAUCAAACCCAUCACUCAAUCAGAAAACAUUAUUUCUCUCUUUCUUCUCUUUCUCCCCGAAGGCCUUUCUCUCACCUUUUCUUUUUAACUCUCUCUAACGACAUCCAAACCCUACAAACGUGACUUGUAACCUACACCUUUGAACUCCCUUCAACCCCAUGAUCACAACCGUGUAACAAAAUCUCGAUUUGGUUGAGGUUUGACUCACCAACUUGGAAGCUUCGACUCGGUGAGUUCUGGAUCGACAUUUUCAGGUUGAGUCGAGGAGUUUUAAAGGUCGGGGAAGCUUUCUUACAACUCCCCGAGGUCUUUAGUAAAUGUUUGGUGAAGAAACAACCUCGAAAUGCAAGGUUUCGAGAAGUCCUAGGUUUAGCCGUACCUUUCAAUGCUUUUUUUCAGGCCACCUCCGUCCAUUUUUUGGACUUCAAAAAGAUUCCAGCGAGUUCAGAUGGCGGCGACCGGUGAGGACCACCGGAGAAGAUGACGGAAUAUUCUGUCAACUCUAACGGAAUAUUCGAAUGGCGUCAGGUUUAGUAGCUGUGCUUAAGUGUAAACGAGGAUUCUGGAAAAUCUCAGGAGAUGGUUAUUUCUAGUGGCACACAAAAAGAAAAGCUAAAAAACCCAAAGCCACUUUGUGGGACUUUGUUCUGAUGCUUCUUGCACCUUCACUGUAGAACACAACAGGCUCGCCCAUUUGCCCACUUGCCCAGAUAUGUGCCUUUUGGCGCAGCGGCAUGAAGCCACAGAAAAAGAAUUUUAGGUUAUCUUCUCUUUUGGUUAUUAGCUUUUUUAAGUUGCUUUUGUUAGGGUUUUUGUGUAAAUUAGUUAGGUAUUAUGUACGUGACGUUCACCAAAAAUUGUAAGUAAUGAGAACUAAUUAACCAGAUUAGGGUCUUUGAGUCUCGGAAAAAAACAGUGAGUCUACCAAAGCAAUCCAUUAGGGUUUUGAGUAUUGGACCGAAAUGAAU
Molecule: non-coding RNA, 982 nt
Organism: Malus domestica (apple)
Lineage: Eukaryota; Viridiplantae; Streptophyta; Magnoliopsida; Rosales; Rosaceae
Source: RefSeq, a predicted model, not a curated record